This 165-nucleotide ribosomal RNA is filed under the name Perenniporia corticola. RNAcentral describes it as "5.8S ribosomal RNA". It matches the Rfam family "5.8S ribosomal RNA". From Rfam's summary of the family: 5.8S ribosomal RNA (5.8S rRNA) is a component of the large subunit of the eukaryotic ribosome. It is transcribed by RNA polymerase I as part of the 45S precursor that also contains 18S and 28S rRNA. RNAcentral also lists the same sequence under 5 other names. Lineage: Eukaryota; Fungi; Basidiomycota; Agaricomycetes; Polyporales; Polyporaceae. The record is from RNAcentral.
AUACAACUUUCAGCAACGGAUCUCUUGGCUCUCGCAUCGAUGAAGAACGCAGCGAAAUGCGAUAAGUAAUGUGAAUUGCAGAAUUCAGUGAAUCAUCGAAUCUUUGAACGCACCUUGCGCUCCUUGGUAUUCCGAGGAGCAUGCCUGUUUGAGUGUCAUGAAAUC